This 373-nucleotide ribosomal RNA is filed under the name uncultured organism. RNAcentral describes it as "partial 16S ribosomal RNA". It matches the Rfam family "Bacterial small subunit ribosomal RNA", at positions 527 to 896 of the family's 1533-position model. The record is from RNAcentral.
GUAGGUGGCAAGCGUUGUCCGGAAUUAUUGGGCGUAAAGCGCGCGCAGGUGGUCUUUAAGUCUGAUGUGAAAGACCCCCGGGCUCAACCGGGGAGGGUCAUUGGAAACUGGGGAACUUGAGUGCAGGAGAGGAAAGUGGAAUUCCACGUGUAGCGGUGAAAUGCGUAGAUAUGUGGAGGAACACCAGUGGCGAAGGCGACUUUCUGGCCUGUAACUGACACUGAGGCGCGAAAGCGUGGGGAGCAAACAGGAUUAGAUACCCUGGUAGUCCACGCCGUAAACGAUGAGUGCUAAGUGUUGGGGGGUUUCCGCCCCUCAGUGCUGCAGCUAACGCAUUAAGCACUCCGCCUGGGGAGUACGGUCGCAAAGACUG